This 680-nucleotide small RNA is filed under the name Oryza sativa Japonica Group (Japanese rice). Its description in RNAcentral is "sRNA Os06g0288000". Lineage: Eukaryota; Viridiplantae; Streptophyta; Magnoliopsida; Poales; Poaceae. The record is from RNAcentral.
CCCGCGAGUCCCUACGGCAGCCGCUGCGCUUUCCUACGACCCCUCGCAUGCCCCCGCCGCGACGGAGUGUGGAUCCUCCCCCGUGCAGUGAAGGUGCCCUACUAGGUCGCUGUCGUCCAGUCCGCCGACCAUAUCCCAACCCAUCGAUGUCUGAAGCUAUUGUAGGUUCCCUUAUGUCCUCAGGGAAAAUACGUGUACUCUGUAAGAGCGGAAAAUUCAGGCUUGCUUAGCCACCCAAGACUCUGCCCCCUGCCUACUCCAUCUCCAAGGAAGCUGCAUGCCUGGGCCACUGGUCUGGUUGGCUAGCGAGGUGUAUUUCAAGCAUCUACUUGUGACAUUAACAACUUUCAAACCUGUGCUGAUUGUGGCAGUCAGGGAAUUCCUGCAUCAUACAGCGAAUGUGCCUUUAUGGCUGCUACACUAGCUACACUUCCAAUUUAUAGUUUUAAAAUUCGUUAAAUUAAAUUGUGCCAAAGUAGUGUGAUAUUACUUGGAUUGAUGCCAUUUAUCAUGGAUAGAAAUCAAAUAUAUCAUGUUCCAGUUCAUGAAACUUUUGCAGGAUGGAGAGCACAGAGGAGUGACAUGAUUCCCAUCCUCAUUCUUUGGAGAGUUUGAUAGGAUAAAACUUUGUACUUUAAUUAGCUGGAAUCUGGCCAUACCCUUGAAGAGGACAAGGGAGC